UUCUGUAACAGAACAAGAUGAGGACCUGAGGAUUUAAAAUGCUGUACUGUCUUGGUGAGUGCCUGAGAAGCAAAUGCUUCUGCAUACCAUAGUGAAGGAGACUGUUCCUGAAGGAGGAUUUCCCUUUACCUCACAGAAUGAAGUAUAGUUGAAGGUGAGGUAGGAAUGUUCCCCUAUGUGUUAGCAUUCCCAGGAACUGAUGUACUUCGCUGACUGUCUGAGACUCCUUCAUCUGGGUGCUGCAGCUCAUUUCCUGAUCAAUGGGACCUCAUUGCAAGAACAAGGGAAGCUGGAAGUGAGUCUCUUGUGACUGUGUGAAGAUAGCCUUGCACUUUUUUUUUCCAGCAUUUUCGUUGCUAUGUCCUCUUAGACAAGCAGAAUAUAGCAACUCCACGAUGUGUGAGAGAGUUACAGUGGGGUGAAAGCUGCAGGGAUGGUGGCCCCUGCUGCAGCCAUGAAGGAGAUAG
RNAcentral lists this long non-coding RNA (467 nucleotides) under Crocodylus porosus (Australian saltwater crocodile). Its description in RNAcentral is "lncRNA (ENSCPRG00005009790.1)". The record is from RNAcentral. Lineage: Eukaryota; Metazoa; Chordata; Crocodylia; Crocodylidae.